CUUGAACUCUGUCAUGUUCUUCAAACCCUUCCUGAACCAAUUGUUGCAGGCCGCAUUAUUCCGCUGAAAGAGGCCACUGCUGUUAGGGAAUACUGUUGCCAUGAAGAGGUGUACUUGUUCUGCAACAAUGUCUAGUAGCUCUUCUGAGGGAUCGGAACAGACGGGCUAGCCUUCUCUUCCCAUGCACAUCAGGGAGCCCUGGACACCCCUGACCCAGUCGACAGUUCACUGGUUGUCCUUCCUUGGAUCACUUUUGGGGGACAGUCCAUGAUGUGCUGCUACCUGCCUGGUGCACACCUGUCGGCUCUGUCUUCUCCUCAAUAGCACCUUCACCUUAGAUCAUCUCCUCUUCCUUUACGCAUGACUGGUGCCUAGCUAUAGCAUAGAAAAAGGUGAACGCCGAGUGCCUCUUCCCUUUUCCUCUGGUGCUUUGAAGUAUAAAGUGUGAUUGCCGUUGGAUUGCAAAUGCUUUCCUUGAAGGCUUUGACAUGAAAAAGCAGCCCGGGCUCUCUGGUUUAGCCCAGCGCCAAUGAUCCGGGACUAAAGCAAUCAGCCCUGAUGACUAUAAGGAGAUACAAUUACCACAGGGAGAGAGUGAAGACGUACGGAAUCCACUAAACACUAUCGCAAUGCCAAGUUUGUCUUACAUCUUUCGCUUGAAGUCUG
This is a long non-coding RNA of Ictalurus punctatus (channel catfish), 666 nucleotides long. The record is from Ensembl. Lineage: Eukaryota; Metazoa; Chordata; Actinopteri; Siluriformes; Ictaluridae.